RNAcentral lists this unclassified non-coding RNA (1731 nucleotides) under Hevea brasiliensis (rubber tree). The record is from RNAcentral. Lineage: Eukaryota; Viridiplantae; Streptophyta; Magnoliopsida; Malpighiales; Euphorbiaceae.
GUUUUUACUGCAUCAGAAGAGUCUUGCAGAGAAAAAGUGUUGCUCAAAAUUAACCUUUUAAAACACAAGGUUCACAAGGAAUAUGGACCCAAAAAUGGCGGUCUAAUGUGAGAGAUGAAGUUCUUCUCAAAAAUACCUUCAUAGUUAAGACUUGAGAGCUAGCUAGCAACCUAAAACAACCACUUCACACGAUAAUGUAUAAUAUAUCCAAGAAAAGGAGAAGUAAACAACAAAGAUGGCAAGAGAACUAGACCAUAAUUAAAGAUUGAAAUACAAAAUGUUUUUAAGUCUUAAAAAGCAUGGUAAGGUGUCACCCUAAUGAUUAAAAUUUUUAAUCACUGAGAGGAUAAACAGCCAUCCCUAGCCGCAAAUUCCUAGAAUUUUAAGAUAUUGAAGCAUUUGAAUGGGACUAAACUGUGGCGGCCAGAAAGUUUUAAUCACUGACUGAUGUUGAUACUACUGAAAGCAUUUUCACCAGCAAGAUAUCAGUCCAGUUUUGAAGCAAUGAACCAAUUGUAAUCAAACAUUACUCAGCUUUUCUAGCUUGCCUUUGGCAGAAUCAAGUUGUUUCUUUCCAGAUGCUGUUGCUUUUUGGAUAGUUGUAAGAAAAAAUAUGUUCCCAUUUUUCUGAUAGACAGUCUAUGUUCAAGAAGAAAAUAUGUUAUAUCCCUGUAUGAUGGCCUCUGAUCAAUGUAAUACAAGAUUUUUAUUUUUCAAAAAAUAAUUAAUACAGAACACUAACAGAAUUGUACGAAUGAAGCAUUCAAGCAAACAUAUUUGGAAAUGCAAAGAUACCAGUAUGCUCUUCAUGCAACCACAGUUAACACCACAAGCUAUAAUAACAAUACCAAAUGUUGUGCUAAUUAGAUAUGCAGCACCCACCUCAGGCAAUAGGACUUUAGAGGCUUUCCUCAAAAACAAAGGUCUAACAUGCAUUGAAUUUGGCCUUAUGGUAAUUUGUGAUAGGUGAACUAGUGGUCCAGAAAAAUUGGUGGAUAAUAGCGAACAAAUAUAUAGAUAGAACAGAAAGGCGCGAAAGACUAGGAGGACAAAGCUUCCAAACAAAGAUAAAUUGCCAAUUUUCUAAGUCACUAAACUGAAGAAAGAGAAAUAUAAUAUCUAUUAACCGAUAAUAAGUUCAAGUUCUUCAUCAAAGGACUCCUAACUAAUCCAAAGGAUCAACAUACAAAAUAAUAGACUAGUGAUAAGAUAGCAGUACAAUAUUUGCAUAAUUCAAUACAGUUCUUAACAAAAUUCCAUUUUCUUGCUAAUGCCCAGUUAAUUUUUCACAAACACACAAGAUAGGCUCAUUCUUAUCCAUAUGCUCUAUAUCAAACACUGAUCCAAUUAACAUUGAUAUUGAAUCUAGAAAUAGGAAUCAAACAAAGAUAAGAACCCACAGAGCAAGAAAAAGAGCAAAAGGCAAGCUUGGUAUCGGAAAUUGGCUAAAGAGCUAACCCGAGACGAUGAAAGAUUAUUCAGCUCUGCUAAAGCAACUUCAUGACUUCGUAUCUGACAGAUUAAAGAAACAAAAAUACCCACAAAAAAUUAAGUAGAUACAUAUGCAAAUUCAAUUGAGAGAGAGAGAAGCUGGAUACCGUUUUUAUGAGAUCAAGUUUCGGGUCUGAAGCAGAGGAGGAGGACUCGGAGGUCGCCGCCAUAGAGGCACAUACGGUCACCUUUUAUCUUUUUGGGGUGAAAAUAAAAAUCCCGUUGAAGCAUUAUAUUUGC